RNAcentral lists this transfer RNA (72 nucleotides) under Patescibacteria group bacterium. RNAcentral's name for it is "tRNA-Met". It matches the Rfam family "tRNA". From Rfam's summary of the family: Transfer RNA (tRNA) molecules are approximately 80 nucleotides in length. Their secondary structure includes four short double-helical elements and three loops (D, anti-codon, and T loops). The record is from RNAcentral.
AGCGGGGUGGAGCAGUAGUAGCUCGUCAGGCUCAUAACCUGAAGGUCGCAGGUGCAAAUCCUGCCCCCGCAA